CGAUCUCCAGCUUUGUUGCAUCUCUAUUCUGCUCCUCGAGGUGCUCAACAGGAGAAGCACUCAAUAGGAGAAGCAGGAGCAGCGGAGCGUUCGCCUCGUUGCAGGGUGCGUGGACAAACAGAUGCUAGGGGCAUUGUUUCACACAACACCUACACCAAUGACCACUGGACAAGUGAAGCAAAGGUACUUGUGAACAACAUGAAAAACUUUCAGCCAUCCUUUGAUUACAUGGAAAUAUGCCUUUGAUGCAUCCGUGUUAUUAUUUACUGAC
Molecule: ribosomal RNA, 271 nt
Filed under: Triticum aestivum (bread wheat)
Lineage: Eukaryota; Viridiplantae; Streptophyta; Magnoliopsida; Poales; Poaceae
Description: partial small subunit ribosomal RNA
Source: RNAcentral